AAUAUUGGUCAAUGGGCGUAAGCCUGAACCAGCCAUCCCGCGUGCAGGAAGACGGCGCUAUGCGUUGUAAACUGCUUUUCCAGGGAAAGAAAACCCCCGACGUGUCGGGGCUUGCCGGUACCCUGGGAAUAAGCAUCGGCUAACUCCGUGCCAGCAGCCGCGGUAAUACGGAGGAUGCGAGCGUUAUCCGGAUUUAUUGGGUUUAAAGGGUGCGUAGGCGGAUUAAUAAGUCAGUGGUGAAAACCUGCAGCUUAACUGUAGAAUUGCCAUUGAUACUGUUAGUCUUGAGUACGGUCAAGGUAGGCGGAAUGUGUAAUGUAGCGGUGAAAUGCUUAGAUAUUACACAGAACACCGAUUGCGAAGGCAGCUUACUGGGCCAUUACUGACGCUGAUGCACGAAAGCGUGGGGAGCGA
RNAcentral lists this ribosomal RNA (414 nucleotides) under uncultured Bacteroidales bacterium. Its description in RNAcentral is "bacterial SSU rRNA". It matches the Rfam family "Bacterial small subunit ribosomal RNA", at positions 360 to 771 of the family's 1533-position model. The record is from RNAcentral. Lineage: Bacteria; Pseudomonadati; Bacteroidota; Bacteroidia; Bacteroidales.